UCCCUUUUGGCUCAGUUGGUAGAGCAUGGUGUUUGCAACGCCAGGGUUGUGGGUUCGAUUCCCACGGGGGAC
This 72-nucleotide transfer RNA is filed under the name Salmo salar (Atlantic salmon). It matches the Rfam family "tRNA". Rfam says of the family: Transfer RNA (tRNA) molecules are approximately 80 nucleotides in length. Their secondary structure includes four short double-helical elements and three loops (D, anti-codon, and T loops). Further hydrogen bonds mediate the characteristic L-shaped molecular structure. tRNAs have two regions of fundamental functional importance: the anti-codon, which is responsible for specific mRNA codon recognition, and the 3' end, to which the tRNAs corresponding amino acid is attached (by aminoacyl-tRNA synthetases). tRNAs cope with the degeneracy of the genetic code in two manners: having more than one tRNA (with a specific anti-codon) for a particular amino acid; and 'wobble' base-pairing, i.e. permitting non-standard base-pairing at the 3rd anti-codon position. Lineage: Eukaryota; Metazoa; Chordata; Actinopteri; Salmoniformes; Salmonidae. The record is from Rfam by way of RNAcentral.